RNAcentral lists this long non-coding RNA (1472 nucleotides) under Homo sapiens (human). RNAcentral's name for it is "TPT1 antisense RNA 1". Lineage: Eukaryota; Metazoa; Chordata; Mammalia; Primates; Hominidae. The record is from RNAcentral.
GAUUACAGGCACGCGCCACCACUCCCAGUUUACACCCCGCCACUCCUGAGCACCGCACACCGGCUUCCUCCCAGUCCCUCAUCUGAGAACUCAUGAAGCCACUUGGAAUCCCUCUCUGCUUUGCCUGGCUCAUUCCAUGUCAAUUUCAGAUCUUCACUUCAGGUCAGCUCCAAGGAGGCUAUCCUUGCCCAUCUUCCUAAAAUAGAGCUCUCAAAACCUGGCUGUUUUCCUUCAGAGCACUGGCCUCCAAUUGCUCCGGUAGAUUGCAAAUGACCUGCUUUCUUUCUGUUCCCGGGCGUUUGGACCCCUGUCUUGGACCGCUGUCGGAUAGUAAAUCCCAAGUAAGGUACCUGCCGUCGGCAGAUUUGAGCUUUCUUCUUGGACACCUAAUACCCAGAGUCCUCCAGGCUCCGGUAGAUUGCAAAUGACCUGCUUUCUUUCUGUUCCCGGGCGGCAUCGGACCCGUCGGAGAGUAAAUCCCAAGUAAGGUACCUGCCGUUGGCAGAUUUGAGCUUUCUUCUUGGACACCUAAUACCCACAGUCCUCCAGGCUCCGGUAGAUUGCAAAUGACCUGCUUUCUUUCUGUUCCCGGGUGGCAUCGACCCGUCGGAGAGUAAAUCCCAAGUAAGGUACCUGCCGUUGGCAGAUUUGAGCUUUCUUCUUGGACACCUAAUACCCACAGUCCUCCAGUAAAUCCCAAGCAAGGUACCUGCCGUCAGCAGAUUUGAGCUUUCUUCUUGGACACCUAAUACCCACAGUCCUCCAGGCUCCGGUAGAUUGCAAAUGACCUGCUUUCUUUCUGUUCCCGGGCUGCGUUCGGACCCCUGUCGGAUAGUAACUCCCAAGUAAGGUACCUGCCGUCGGCAGAUUGGAGCUUUCUUCUUGGAGACCUAAUACCCACAGUCCUCCAGGCUCCGGUAGAUUGCAAAUGACCUGCUUUCUUUCUGUUCCCGGGCUGCGUUCGGACCCCUGUCGGAGAGUAAAUCCGAAAAAAACAAACAAAGACAUGGAUUUACUGUGCAUAUUAGCAGAUCCAUACUGGAAAAUGCAUGGAGGUUUCAUAUACACCACUUACAGUUUUCAGCUCCUCAGUAGUGACAAAGCCAUACCCAUCAUUGUCGAUUCGAUCAACAAUCUUCCCUAGCCUCUCCUUGCUCUCGUCCGGGGUGAGCUCGUCGAAGUUCUUGGAGUCCUCCUUGCCCAGGAAGGCCUCGUGGUCGUACUGGAAGCUCUGGUUGUCCUCAGGGGGCCGCUCGCCCAGCUCCGAGUCGGGCCGCACCACGCGCUCUUUGCGCACCGUGGGCUUGGCCCGCAGAACCCGCGGCGCCAGCACCAGCGCCAGCAGCAGCCCCAGGGCUAACCCCAGGCGGCCACCGCGCGCCAUCGUCCCGAGGAGAGGGCGGCCGGGAGGGAGACGCUGAGCGAGCGACAACAGCGGCAGCUCGGGAAUGGGGGCUCGGAGCGCGGCGGCC